CCGAUCCUCCCACCCUUUGUGUACCUACCUCUGUUGCUUUGGCGGGCCGCGGUCCUCCGCGGCCGCCCCCCUCCCCGGGGGGGUGGCCAGCGCCCGCCAGAGGACCAUCAAACUCCAGUCAGUAAACGAUGCAGUCUGAAAAACAUUUAAUAAACUAAAACUUUCAACAACGGAUCUCUUGGUUCUGGCAUCGAUGAAGAACGCAGCGAAAUGCGAUAAGUAAUGUGAAUUGCAGAAUUCAGUGAAUCAUCGAAUCUUUGAACGCACAUUGCGCCCUUUGGUAUUCCGAAGGGCAUGCCUGUUCGAGCGUCAUUACAACCCUCAAGCUCUGCUUGGUAUUGGGCACCGUCCUUUGCGGGCGCGCCUCAAAGACCUCGGCGGUGGCGUCUUGCCUCAAGCGUAGUAGAACAUACAUCUCGCUUCGGAGCGCAGGGCGUCGCCCGCCGGACGAACCUUCUGAACUUUUCUCAAGGUUGACCUCGGAUCAGGUAGGGAUACCCGCUGAACUUAAGCAUAUCAAUAA
RNAcentral lists this ribosomal RNA (523 nucleotides) under Botryosphaeria dothidea. RNAcentral's name for it is "eukaryotic LSU rRNA". The stretch from base 159 to 312 matches the Rfam family "5.8S ribosomal RNA". The record is from RNAcentral. Lineage: Eukaryota; Fungi; Ascomycota; Dothideomycetes; Botryosphaeriales; Botryosphaeriaceae.